This 539-nucleotide ribosomal RNA is filed under the name uncultured marine bacterium. RNAcentral's name for it is "bacterial SSU rRNA". It matches the Rfam family "Bacterial small subunit ribosomal RNA", at positions 62 to 610 of the family's 1533-position model. The record is from RNAcentral.
UCGAGCGAAGCUUUUCAGUAGUUUACUACAGAAAAUGACUGAGCGGCGAACGGGUGAGUAACGCGUGAGCAAUCUACCUUAGUUACAGGGAUAGCCCGAGGAAACUCGGAUUAAUACCUGAUAUUCUUUAAAUUUCGCAUGAAAUUAUAAGGAAAGGUCAGCCGAACUAAGAUGAGCUCGCGUUCUAUCAGCUAGUUGGUGAGGUAAAAGCUCACCAAGGCAACGACGGAUAGCUGGUCUGAGAGGACGAUCAGCCACACUGGGACUGAGACACGGCCCAGACUCCUACGGGAGGCUGCAGCAGGGAAUAUUGCGCAAUGAGCGAAAGCUUGACGCAGCGACACCGCGUGUGGGAUGACGGAUCUAGGUUUGUAAACCACUUUCAGGAGGGAAGAAAAUGACGGUACCUCCACAAGAAGCCCCGGCCAACUACGUGCCAGCAGCCGCGGUAAUACGUAGGGGGCGAGCGUUGUCCGGAUUUAUUGGGCGUAAAGAGCUCGUAGGCGGUUCAACAAGUCGGUCGUAAAAGUUCAGGGCUC